CGCGGGUUAGUGUAACAGUAACAUUUUUGACUCAUGAUCAAAAGAAAAAGGUGCAAAUCCUUUAUCCGCAU
Molecule: transfer RNA, 71 nt
Filed under: Niveomyces insectorum
Lineage: Eukaryota; Fungi; Ascomycota; Sordariomycetes; Hypocreales; Cordycipitaceae
Also listed under: 1 other name
Description: Sporothrix insectorum tRNA-Met
Rfam family: tRNA
About the family: Transfer RNA (tRNA) molecules are approximately 80 nucleotides in length. Their secondary structure includes four short double-helical elements and three loops (D, anti-codon, and T loops). Further hydrogen bonds mediate the characteristic L-shaped molecular structure. tRNAs have two regions of fundamental functional importance: the anti-codon, which is responsible for specific mRNA codon recognition, and the 3' end, to which the tRNAs corresponding amino acid is attached (by aminoacyl-tRNA synthetases). tRNAs cope with the degeneracy of the genetic code in two manners: having more than one tRNA (with a specific anti-codon) for a particular amino acid; and 'wobble' base-pairing, i.e. permitting non-standard base-pairing at the 3rd anti-codon position.
Source: RNAcentral